GGCCCUUGGUAGCUUAAUGCGCACACAUUUUUUUUACAGAAGACGCGAGAACAUUUAUUACACGAGCCAAGGAUACUAAUAUCAAAACUUUCAACAACGGAUCUCUUGGUUCUCGCAUCGAUGAAGAAUGCAGCGAAAUGCGAUAAGUAAUAUGAAUUGCAGAUUUUCGUGAAUCAUCGAAUCUUUGAACGCACAUUGCACUUUUUGGUAUUCCAGAAAGUAUGCUUGUUUGAGCGUCAUUUCUCCCUCAAACCCAUGGUUUGGCAGUGAGCAAUAACGAGGUUUUGCUUGAAAUUCGCAGGUGGUAAUAUCCAAGUUUUAUUACUGCAACGCAAUUUUGACCUCAAAUCAAGUAGGACUACCCGCUGAACUUAAGCAUAUCAAUAAGCGGAGGA
RNAcentral lists this small RNA (395 nucleotides) under uncultured Candida. RNAcentral's name for it is "eukaryotic LSU rRNA". The stretch from base 86 to 239 matches the Rfam family "5.8S ribosomal RNA". Lineage: Eukaryota; Fungi; Ascomycota; Saccharomycetes; Saccharomycetales. The record is from RNAcentral.